Molecule: unclassified non-coding RNA, 344 nt
Filed under: Hevea brasiliensis (rubber tree)
Lineage: Eukaryota; Viridiplantae; Streptophyta; Magnoliopsida; Malpighiales; Euphorbiaceae
Source: RNAcentral
AACAUAUCUAUUUUUGUCGCGCUCUUCGAAAACGUAUUUCCACAAUUAAUUUAUUUAAAAAAAUUUUAAAAAUGGGUCAGAAAAUUUAUACUGGAAAAUUUCCAAAUUUGAUUUGGAAGGUUUAGUUUAGUCGCCUGCAUGAGCCGUAUGAGUUUCGCGCUAUCUUCGUAUGAAUACAAAAUAUCACAGUUGAAUAUGGACUUGUUUGUCAAUUUUGGAAACUUUAUGGGGGUUUUAUGAAAAUCACGUAAGGGCUUGUGGGGUGGGGCCGUUGGGGGUGGAUUUGAAGAGAAAAAGCAGAAAAUUAUAGAGCCACUUUGGCUGUUGGACCACGAACGCGAGCA